UCUCUUAUCCACUAGGCCACGAGUGCCAGCGCCCUCAAGGAGUCGGGUCCGCAUGGCCUAGUGGAUAAGAGGGA
This is a microRNA precursor of Caenorhabditis elegans, 74 nucleotides long. The record is from Ensembl. NCBI's taxonomy places the organism in Eukaryota, Metazoa, Nematoda, Chromadorea, Rhabditida, Rhabditidae.